UACGUACUGUGCGAACGUUAUUCGGAAUCACUGGGCUUAAAGGGUGCGUAGGCGGUCAUUUAAGUAGGGUGUGAAAUCCCCCGGCUCAACCGGGGAACUGCGCUCUAAACUGGAUGGCUUGAGUAAGAUAGGGGUGUGCGGAACUUCCGGUGGAGCGGUGAAAUGUGUUGAUAUCGGAAGGAACACCAGUAGCGAAAGCGGCACACUGGGUCUUAACUGACGCUGAGGCACGAAAGCGUGGGGAGCAAAAGGG
This 253-nucleotide unclassified non-coding RNA is filed under the name uncultured Planctomycetales bacterium. Its description in RNAcentral is "contains 16S-23S intergenic spacer region". It matches the Rfam family "Bacterial small subunit ribosomal RNA", at positions 524 to 776 of the family's 1533-position model. The record is from RNAcentral. Lineage: Bacteria; Pseudomonadati; Planctomycetota; Planctomycetia; Planctomycetales.